AGUGAACGCUGGCGGUAAGCCUAACACAUGCAAGUCGAACGGCAGCACAGGAGAGCUUGCUCUCUGGGUGGCGAGUGGCGGACGGGUGAGGAAUACAUCGGAAUCUACUCUGUCGUGGGGGAUAACGUAGGGAAACUUACGCUAAUACCGCACACGACCUACGGGUGAAAGCAGGGGACCUUCGGGCCUUGCGCGAUUGAAUGAGCCGAUGUCGGAUUAGCUAGUUGGCGGGGUAAAGGCCCACCAAGGCGACGAUCCGUAGCUGGUCUGAGAGGAUGAUCAGCCACACUGGAACUGAGACACGGUCCAGACUCCUACGGGAGGCAGCAGUGGGGAAUAUUGGACAAUGGGCGCAAGCCUGAUCCAGCCAUACCGCGUAGGUGAAGAAGGCCUUCGGGUUGUAAAGCCCUUUUGUUGGGAAAGAAAUCCAGCUGGCUAAUACCCGGUUGGGAUGACGGUACCCAAAGAAUAAGCACCGGCUAACUUCGCGCCAGCAGCCGCCGUAA
This 506-nucleotide ribosomal RNA is filed under the name uncultured bacterium. Its description in RNAcentral is "partial 16S ribosomal RNA". It matches the Rfam family "Bacterial small subunit ribosomal RNA", at positions 29 to 523 of the family's 1533-position model. The record is from RNAcentral.